RNAcentral lists this ribosomal RNA (408 nucleotides) under uncultured bacterium. Its description in RNAcentral is "partial 16S ribosomal RNA". It matches the Rfam family "Bacterial small subunit ribosomal RNA", at positions 28 to 526 of the family's 1533-position model. The record is from RNAcentral.
GACGAACGCUGGCGGCGUGCUUAACACAUGCAAGUCGAACGGAGUGGCGAAAGGGUGAGUAACACGUGGGUGAUCUGCCGUGCACUUCGGGAUAAGCUUGGGAAACUGUGUGUAAUACCGGAUAGCGCAAGCUGAGCUCGGGUCCUGUCAGCUUGUUGGUGGGGUAAUGGCCUACCAAGGCGGAGAAGGGUAGCCGGCAUGAGAGGGUGGACGGCCACAAUGGGACUGCGAUACGGGCCAGACUGGUACGGGAGGCAGCGGUGGAGAAUAUUACACAAUGGGCGGGAGCCUGAUACAGCGACGCCGCGUGGGGGAUGAAGUCCUUCUGGUUGUAAACUCCUUUGGACAGGGACGCGGUACCUGUAUAAGAAGCACCGGCUAACUACGUGCCAGCAGCCGCGGUAAUAC